Molecule: long non-coding RNA, 117 nt
Organism: Rhagoletis zephyria (snowberry fruit fly)
Lineage: Eukaryota; Metazoa; Arthropoda; Insecta; Diptera; Tephritidae
Source: RefSeq, a predicted model, not a curated record
AGGAUUUAUAACAAAGAGGGGAAAAAUUUGGAACUAUAAAACAAUACUUUGCAAAUCGUACCGAUUUGAAAUCGUACGAUUUGCAGAACAUGCCUGAUAUUUUUAAAUUACAUUUAU